GCGGGGUUAGCUCAGCUGGAUAGAGCGCUUCCCUCCGAAGGAAGAGGCCACAGGUUCGACUCCUGUACUCCGCA
Molecule: transfer RNA, 74 nt
Filed under: Simulacricoccus ruber
Lineage: Bacteria; Pseudomonadati; Myxococcota; Myxococcia; Myxococcales; Myxococcaceae
Also listed under: 2 other names
Description: tRNA-Arg
Rfam family: tRNA
About the family: Transfer RNA (tRNA) molecules are approximately 80 nucleotides in length. Their secondary structure includes four short double-helical elements and three loops (D, anti-codon, and T loops).
Source: RNAcentral